CUUGUGCAUUGAAACUUUCACCACAUGAAGGCAAUGUUGAAUUAUUGGUGCAUGCCAACCGGUUGGAUUAGAUAAAUCAAACCAAUAAAUAAAUAAAUAUAUGAUAAAGAAAAGCAAAAGUAAAAAGGUAUUUAAAUUUAUUUAUGAGAUUUGAAGAAGAAAUUGAGGUUUGACAGAAAAAAGAAGAAGAAGAAGGGAAAAUUAAGGUAGAA
Molecule: long non-coding RNA, 212 nt
Filed under: Eucalyptus grandis
Lineage: Eukaryota; Viridiplantae; Streptophyta; Magnoliopsida; Myrtales; Myrtaceae
Description: long non-coding RNA (EGRA_LNC007242)
Source: RNAcentral